CGAUGGUUCAUUCAAAUUUCUGCCCUAUCAACUUUCGAUGGUAAGAUAGAGGCUUACCAUGGUGUCGACGGGUAACGGGGAAUUAGGGUUCGAUUCCGGAGAGGGAGCCUGAGAAACGGCUACCACAUCCAAGGAAGGCAGCAGGCGCGCAAAUUACCCAAUCCCAAUACGGGGAGGUAGUGACAAUAAAUACUGAUGUUGAGCUCUUUUGGGUUUAACAAUUGGAAUGAGUACAAUCUAAAUCCCUUAGAAACCUCUUGGGGGAUUAAAAAUGAGUCCCUAACUUUAGGGGCCACGCCCUCUCUAUUCGAGGAUCCUUUACCCAAGGUGAUUCGAAGCCUAUUCAGGUUCAGAGACUACACAAGGGUGGGUGAUGAAAAUCAUUAAUGGCAUAGUCCAAACUGUUCAGAUUUUGAACAGUAUCCAUGUAACGAGGAACAAUUGGAGGGCAAGUCUGGUGGAGUUUACUCCCUGCAUAUGAGUAUUUACUCUCUGCUGACGCCAGACAUACGUGAGGCUCUAAUGGGCUUCACUUAGUGAGUGGAAUCUGCUUGCAAGGUGGGUCCGGGCACGGGGGAAAAGCUA
Molecule: ribosomal RNA, 585 nt
Filed under: uncultured fungus
Lineage: Eukaryota; Fungi
Description: partial 18S small subunit ribosomal RNA
Rfam family: Eukaryotic small subunit ribosomal RNA
Source: RNAcentral